AGAGACGCGCGCGCGCGCCUCACUUCCCACGCGCAUGCGCCAUAGCAACUGAGAUUCCUCUGAGAGGUCUAGGCCGCUGAAGGAGUGCCAGCAGUUUCUCUUCUGGCUGGUUCAGGCGGUGCUUCUCUCUGCUUCAGUCAGACCCGUAGCCAAAAAGAAAAAUUCAGGAGGGGUUGAAUUCCCCCCCUCAAGAUGAUUUUUCAGGUCUGUCUCCUGGUCAACAAGGCCCUGAAAUUACCAUCAUUAUGCAAAAGUUCUUCACAGUGAAAAAUACGGUCCUCCAACACUGGAAAAGAAAGUAGUGAUGACAAGAAGCGAAGAAGUGGAUGAGGGAAAGUAAAACUGAUGUGGAUUUGUCACAAGCUCAGCUACAAGAAACAAAACCACAAUGGUCUGUUAAUAUACUGCCUUUUUGAAUAGAAAUACUUAUGAAAAUUUACCUGCCCUUUGUAGUUUGUAGGAACGCCUCCCAUAUUGUAAUGCACAGUGGGCAGAACAGGAAUGGGUUCUUUGGUGACAUCCACACCAGCAAAUAUCAUAGCAGUUUCUGAAAUCCCAGGAAGACGUGUGGCUAGCUGCUGAGGUGGCAAAUGGUGCAACUGCAAGUACACAUGGUCUUUCUCAGGUCCACAUCCUCUGUUAUUUAAAAUUAAAAAGUAGCUGUAGUCUCUUUAUAAUUCA
This is a long non-coding RNA of Anolis carolinensis (green anole), 681 nucleotides long. RefSeq lists it as uncharacterized. The record is from RefSeq and is a predicted model, not a curated record. Lineage: Eukaryota; Metazoa; Chordata; Lepidosauria; Squamata; Anolidae. The transcript has 2 exons.